UGAGGUGCGUAUCCAUAGUAUAUGUAUUACCUACAUUUAAUUGUACGCUAUUUUUAGAAUAUUUUCGCCGCUUUACCUCGCCAUCAGACAGCUCUUUCCAACAUGGAACUGAAGCCGUUGUAUCCAUCUGUGCUUUCACCAAGGCCACCGGACUCUAUUG
Long non-coding RNA from Sebastes umbrosus (honeycomb rockfish), 160 nucleotides. RefSeq lists it as uncharacterized. The transcript has 2 exons. The record is from RefSeq and is a predicted model, not a curated record. NCBI's taxonomy places the organism in Eukaryota, Metazoa, Chordata, Actinopteri, Perciformes, Sebastidae.